UGGUUCUGGCAUCGAUGAAGAACGCAGCGAAAUGCGAUAAGUAAUGUGAAUUGCAGAAUUCAGUGAAUCAUCGAAUCUUUGAACGCAUAUUGCGCCCCCUGGUAUUCCGGGGGGCAUGCCUGUUCGAGCGUCAUUGCACCCCUCAAGCCUGGCUUGGUCUUGGGCCUCCGUCCGUCGUGGACGGGUCCGAAAACGAGUGGCGACCCGAUGUGACUUCGGGCAAAAGUAAAUUUUUCAACCUGCUCUGGAAGUUUCACACCGCGGUCGGCCAGCGAAACCUUUUCUCCAACAAUUGACCUCGGAUCAGGUAGGAAUACCCGCUGA
This 324-nucleotide unclassified non-coding RNA is filed under the name uncultured fungus. RNAcentral describes it as "partial contains 5.8S ribosomal RNA and internal transcribed spacer 2". The stretch from base 1 to 133 matches the Rfam family "5.8S ribosomal RNA", at positions 22 to 154 of the family's 154-position model. Lineage: Eukaryota; Fungi. The record is from RNAcentral.